RNA transcript from Zootoca vivipara (common lizard), 3640 nucleotides. It is a transcript of the gene named phosphodiesterase 1C, with no coding region annotated. Lineage: Eukaryota; Metazoa; Chordata; Lepidosauria; Squamata; Lacertidae. The record is from RefSeq and is a predicted model, not a curated record.
UUCCGCGCACUCGCGCGCAAGGCAGAGGUUGGCGCCCGAAGCUGCCCGGAAGAACCCGGGAGCUGCGUUUCUCGAGCCAGCCACGGAGGCGAAGGCGGAGCGAGCGGGAACGGGGCGCCUGCCUGCCUACCUGCCUUGACCGCGGACCCGGGCGCUCCGUCGUCCUUCCCCGCGGAGCCAUGGGCUCCAUCACCUCCGCGCUGACGCGCUCGCGCAACGCCGUAGUCCAGGUGCGCUCGGAGCCGUCGGGGGCUCCGCCGGCAGCCGGCAGCAAGACACGAGCGUCCCGGAGCAAAGGGGCGGGCAAGGCGGCCACCGCAGCCGCGCCUGCCCGCCGCCCGCCGCCCGCCCCGGGCGCCUGGGAAGGAAGCAACCGGCCGGGCCAGGCGGAGGAGAAGGAAACGCGCGAGGAGCUGUCCGUGGUGCUGAAGCGCCCCGAAGAGGAACAGGGACCGGCUGGGCUGGCCUUGCCCCUCAAUCCCCGCCGCUGCGGGAGCGCCUUUGCAAAUGAGACGGGGGACAAGAAUGCUCGGCCGCUUUCAAGAUUCGCCCGGUCGAAAUCUCAGAACUGUCUGUGGAAUACCAUUAUUGGUGGGCUUACAGGGAAUCUUAAGGAAAAACAGAAGCCAACCAUCGUCUUUGACCCAAGACCUCCUGAAGAAAUCUUAGCAGAGGAGCUGCCGGCGGUAGAGAGCCCCGAAGCACUUGUGAAAACCUCAUUCAGGUUACGAUCUUUGGUGAAGCAGCUAGAGAGAGGAGAGGCUUCUGUUGUUGACUUGAAAAAGAACUUGGAAUAUGCUGCUACAGUACUUGAAUCGGUGUACAUUGAUGAAACCAGGCGUUUGUUGGAUACGGAAGAUGAACUCAGUGAUAUCCAGUCAGAUGCCGUGCCCUCGGAAGUACGGGAUUGGCUGGCUUCUACUUUCACACGGCAAAUGGGGAUGAUGCUGAGAAGGAGCGAGGAAAAGCCACGAUUCCGAAGUAUUGUGCAUGCAGUUCAGGCUGGGAUAUUUGUGGAGAGAAUGUACAGACGGACAUCCAAUAUGGUUGGACUUAGCUACCCACCUGCUGUAAUUGGAGUGCUAAAGAACGUAGACAAGUGGUCCUUCGAUGUAUUUGCACUAAAUGAUGCUAGUGGGGACCAUGCACUGAAAUUCAUUUUCUACGAAUUGCUCACACGCUAUGAUUUGAUCAGCCGCUUCAAGAUUCCAAUAUCUGCUCUUGUCUCCUUUGUGGAAGCCCUGGAAGUUGGCUACAGCAAGCAUAAAAAUCCGUAUCACAACCUAAUGCAUGCUGCAGAUGUCACACAGACUGUUCAUUACCUCCUUUUUAAGACAGGUGUAGCGCACUGGUUGACGGAGCUGGAAAUAUUCGCUAUGAUUUUUGCUGCUGCCAUCCAUGACUAUGAGCACACCGGAACCACCAACAACUUUCAUAUUCAGACACGGUCGGAUACAGCCAUUCUUUACAAUGACCGGUCUGUGUUAGAAAAUCAUCACCUUAGUGCAGCGUUUCGCCUUCUGCAAGAUGACGAGGAGAUGAAUAUCCUGUCUAACCUCUCAAAGGAUGAUUGGAGAGAAUUUAGGACUCUGGUUAUUGAGAUGGUGUUGGCCACGGAUAUGUCCUGUCACUUCCAGCAAAUCAAAGCCAUGAAGAAUGCGCUGCAGCAGCCAGAAGGAAUUGACAAACCGAAAGCCUUAUCGCUGAUGUUGCAUACAGCUGACAUCAGUCACCCCGCCAAGGCAUGGGACCUCCAUCACCGCUGGACCAUGUCACUGCUAGAGGAGUUUUUCAGACAGGGUGACAAAGAAGCAGAACUAGGGCUUCCUUUUUCCCCUUUGUGCGACCGUAAAUCCACCAUGGUUCCUCAGUCUCAAGUAGGUUUUAUUGAUUUCAUUGUGGAGCCCACUUUCACUGUGCUGACUGACAUGACAGAGAAGAUUGUAACACCUCUCAUUGAGGAAGCCUCCCACUCUGGCAUGACAGGGUUUAGGCGUUCCAGUCUGAAUAGCAUUAGCCCCUCAGAAGUUAAAAGAUCAAGUGUAAAGAGUACUGGAUCAGAAGGAAGUGCCUCUCUCAACUGCUCCAUUCUCACUGUGGACUUCAAAGGUUUCAAAAGCACCUGGACUGAGGUGGUGCAACAAAACCGGGAAAAGUGGAAAGCACAAGCAACCAAAGAAGAGAAAGCCAAGAAAGAGGCCGAGGAGAAUGUUCAACAGGGAACGGAUGACAAGAAAACGGAAGACGGCGAAGGGAAAAAGCCGGCUGAGGAAACCACUGCCCCCAAGUCAGAGAGUAGUAAAGAAGGCAAUUCGGGAGAAAGCAAGAGCACGGAAGCCAGCAAGACUAAUGUGAAUGGGACUCGCCAAACGGCUGGUAGCAAACACGAAGCUUCCCAAGGGAAAAAUGCAACUCAGGUGGGAAAGGAGUCAGAGUCCAAGGCGGCACCGGGAGAACAAAAGCGGCUUGUACAGAAUGGUUCAAAACAACUUAUGAAACCCGCACCAUUACCAGAAUCCUCAAAUCGGCUCACGCUGCCAGAAAACUAAGAGAUUCUUCAGGAAAGAGCAUUACCUCCUCAACAUGCCAGCCCAAUUGCUCAGAGGCAAUUUAAAGAAAAGCAUACACUUCCCUUCUCCCCAAAUGUUCAGAUCGCCUGAACUUGAAAACCAGCAACAAUGACCACCCCACCUCGAGGAAUCAGAAGCAACAAUUUUAAAAAGCAGAAUUUCCUGGGGGUGGAAGUCACUGUCUUACUUCCUUUAAAAAAACAAAAAACUUUUAUCAUUUUGUUUUUAACAUUAUGUUCUGUACAACACAACCCUGGAAUAGGCCUACAUUAGUUCUGUUCACAAUGCUUACUUGUUAUAUCUGCCUCAAUAAUUAUAUGUAUAUACACAGAGAGAGAGAUUUGGAACGGGACUCAUGCAGCAAGCGAGCUGUACUGUAUUGCUUUCUUUAAUAAAGUUCUGCCACACAAAUAUUUGCACUAAUGUACUUGCAAAAAUGAAGGUCCCCCCCGCCCUCUAGCCAUACAUAUUUGUAUGGUUAGUAAUGUCGCCCAUUCCCUCAUUUCUGCAUUUCAUGCUUAAAUAUUGAGGUCUGUUUGUAAUGUGGUUUGACGGCGUAUUUCCAUACAGUUGUGUAUCUGGCUGUUCUGGAGCAGGCGAAGAGAUGUACUCUUCCCUCUUACCAGCUCAUCAGGUUCCAAACAACUAUCACCACUUAUCUGCAGGGCAGAAUUUAGGUUUGAUGAGGCCCUAAGCUACUGAAGGUAAUGGGGCCCUUUAUAUGUCCAGCUGUCCUUUGUCAACAACAAAUUGUCACUGUUUUUUUGUGUUGAGUGUAUGCUAUAGUUAUACCUCGGUUUAAGUACACCUUGGUUUGAGUAUUUUCAGUUUAAGUACUCUGUGGACCUGUCUAGAACGGAUUAAUCCACUUUCCAUUACUUUCAAUGGGAAAGUUCGCUUCAGGUUAAGUACAGACUUCCGGAACCAAUUGUGUUUGUAAACCGAGGUACCACUGUAUAUGAUAAUUUAUGGACCUAACAGGUAUCUAAAACCAUUUGCACAUGCAGAAGGCAGGCACCCUAUAUAUAGAAAUGAGCAAACCAGUGAUAUUUUAGGGAGCAGGCUAGAAG